AGCUCAAAUUUGAAAUCUGGCCCUCUCAGGGUCCGAGUUGUAAUUUAAAGAAGCGUUUUCGGUGGCAGCCUGGGUAUAAAUCCUUUGGAAUAGGGUAUCAUAGAGGGUGAGAAUCCCGUCUUUGACCUAGUGCAUGCUACUAUGUGAUACGUUUUCAAA
This 159-nucleotide ribosomal RNA is filed under the name Mortierella sp. Its description in RNAcentral is "partial large subunit ribosomal RNA". It matches the Rfam family "Eukaryotic large subunit ribosomal RNA", at positions 106 to 261 of the family's 3401-position model. The record is from RNAcentral. Lineage: Eukaryota; Fungi; Mortierellomycota; Mortierellomycetes; Mortierellales; Mortierellaceae.